GCUGUGCUUGUCUGUGAUAACUUCGUGCCGAUCGCACAUCCCCGUGACGGCGACAACGCAUUCGAAUGUCUGCCCUAUGAACUUUCGAUGCUAUUUUCCGCGCCUACCAUGGUGACCACGGGUAGCGGGGAAUCAGGGUUCGAAUCCAGAGAUGGAGACUGAGAAACUGCUACCACAUGCAAAGAAGGCAGCAGGCG
Pelobates cultripes (western spadefoot toad) is the source of this 197-nucleotide non-coding RNA. The record is from the annotation of a GenBank genome assembly. Lineage: Eukaryota; Metazoa; Chordata; Amphibia; Anura; Pelobatidae.